AGCAGCCGCGGUAAUUCCAGCUCCAAUAGCGUAUAUUAAAGUUGUUGCAGUUAAAAAGCUCGUAGUUGAAUUUCGGAAUCUGUCCAUCGGUCGGGCUUCACUGUCCGUACUGGUGCGGUGGGUUCUUACCUUCUGAAUAACCAGCAUGCCACUCACUUGGUGCGUUGGGGAAGCAGGACUAUUACCUUGAAAAAAUUAGAGUGCUCAAAGCAGGCUAGUGCCUGAAUAUAUUAGCACGGAAUAAUAAAAUAGGACGGCAUGGUUCUAUUUUGUUGGUUUUCUAGGUAUCACCGUAAUGAUUAAUAGGGAUAGUUGGGGGCAUUAGUAUUCAAUUGUCAGAGGUGAAAUUCUUGGAUUUAUUGAAGACUAACUUCUAGCGAAAGCAUUUGCCAAGGAUGUUUCAUUAUCAAGAACGAAAGUUAGGGAUUCGAAGACGAUACAGAUACCGUCGUAGUCUUAACCAUAAACUAUGCGACUAGGGAUCGGACGAUGUUAAUUUUUAUGUAACUUCGUUCGGCGA
RNAcentral lists this ribosomal RNA (520 nucleotides) under uncultured Acaulospora. RNAcentral's name for it is "SSU rRNA". It matches the Rfam family "Eukaryotic small subunit ribosomal RNA", at positions 569 to 1086 of the family's 1831-position model. The record is from RNAcentral. Lineage: Eukaryota; Fungi; Glomeromycota; Glomeromycetes; Diversisporales; Acaulosporaceae.